AGUGAACGCUGGCGGUAGGCCUAACACAUGCAAGUCGAACGGCAGCACAGUAAGAGCUUGCUCUUACGGGUGGCGAGUGGCGGACGGGUGAGGAAUACAUCGGAAUCUACUUUUUCGGGGGGGAUAACGUAGGGAAACUUACGCUAAUGCCGCAUACGACCUACGGGUGAAAGCAGGGGAUCUUCGGACCUUGCGCGAUUGAAUGAGCCGAUGUCGGAUUAGCUAGUUGGCGGGGUAAAGGCCCACCAAGGCGACGAUCCGUAGCUGGUCUGAGAGGAUGAUCAGCCACACUGGAACUGAGACACGGUCCGGACUCCUACGGGAGGCAGCAGUGGGGAAUAUUGGACAAUGGGCGCAAGCCUGAUCCAGCCAUACCGCGUGGGUGAAGAAGGCCUUCGGGUUGUAAAGCCCUUUUGUUGGGAAAGAAAAGCAGCAGGUUAAUACCCCGCUGUUCUGACGGUACCCAAAGAAUAAGCACCGGCUAACUUCGUG
This 492-nucleotide ribosomal RNA is filed under the name uncultured bacterium. RNAcentral's name for it is "partial 16S ribosomal RNA". It matches the Rfam family "Bacterial small subunit ribosomal RNA", at positions 29 to 507 of the family's 1533-position model. The record is from RNAcentral.